RNAcentral lists this ribosomal RNA (253 nucleotides) under uncultured bacterium. RNAcentral describes it as "partial 16S ribosomal RNA". It matches the Rfam family "Bacterial small subunit ribosomal RNA", at positions 524 to 776 of the family's 1533-position model. The record is from RNAcentral.
UACGUAGGUCCCGAGCGUUAUCCGGAUUUAUUGGGCGUAAAGCGAGCGCAGGCGGUUUUUUAAGUCUGAUGUGAAAGCCUUCGGCUCAACCGAAGAAGUGCAUCGGAAACUGGGAAACUUGAGUGCAGAAGAGGACAGUGGAACUCCAUGUGUAGCGGUGAAAUGCGUAGAUAUGUGGAAGAACACCAGUGGCGAAGGCGGCUGUCUGGGCUGUAACUGACGCUGAUGCGCGAAAGUAUGGGUAGCAAACAGG